RNAcentral lists this ribosomal RNA (465 nucleotides) under uncultured bacterium. RNAcentral describes it as "partial 16S ribosomal RNA". It matches the Rfam family "Bacterial small subunit ribosomal RNA", at positions 29 to 507 of the family's 1533-position model. The record is from RNAcentral.
AUGAACGCUGGCGGCGUGCUUAACACCUGCAAGUCGAACGGAAAGGCCACAGCUUGCUGUGGUACUCGAGUGGCGAACGGGUGAGUAACACGUGGGUGAUCUGCCCUGUACUUCGGGAUAAGCUUGGGAAACUGGGUCUAAUACCGGAUAGGAAUCACAUGUGGGUGUGUGGUUGGAAAGCUUUUGCGGUAUGGGAUGAGCUCGCGGCCUAUCAGCUUGUUGGUGGGGUAAUGGCCUACCAAGGCGUCGACGGGUAGCCGGCCUGAGAGGGUGUACGGCCACAUUGGGACUGAGAUACGGCCCAGACUCCUACGGGAGGCAGCAGUGGGGAAUAUUGCACAAUGGGCGCAAGCCUGAUGCAGCGACGCCGCGUGGGGGAUGACGGCCUUCGGGUUGUAAACUCCUUUCGUCAGGGACGAAGCGAAAGUGACGGUACCUGGAGAAGAAGCACCGGCUAACUACGUG